CGGGAAAAGCUCAAAUUUAAAAUCUGGCAGUCUUUGGCUGUCCGAGUUGUAAUCUAGAGAAGCAUUAUCCGCGCUGGACCGUGUACAAGUCUCUUGGAACAGAACGUCAAAGAGGGUGAGAAUCCCGUCUU
RNAcentral lists this ribosomal RNA (131 nucleotides) under Phlebia sp. Its description in RNAcentral is "partial large subunit ribosomal RNA". It matches the Rfam family "Eukaryotic large subunit ribosomal RNA", at positions 99 to 227 of the family's 3401-position model. Lineage: Eukaryota; Fungi; Basidiomycota; Agaricomycetes; Polyporales; Meruliaceae. The record is from RNAcentral.